RNAcentral lists this ribosomal RNA (506 nucleotides) under uncultured bacterium. RNAcentral's name for it is "bacterial SSU rRNA". It matches the Rfam family "Bacterial small subunit ribosomal RNA", at positions 8 to 507 of the family's 1533-position model. The record is from RNAcentral.
AGAGUUUGAUCCUGGCUCAGAUUGAACGCUGGCGGCAUGCCUUACACAUGCAAGUCGAACGGCAGCACGGGAGCUUGCUCCUGGUGGCGAGUGGCGAACGGGUGAGUAAUACAUCGGAACGUACCCUGAAGUGGGGGAUAACGUAGCGAAAGUUACGCUAAUACCGCAUAUUCUGUGAGCAGGAAAGAGGGGGAUCGCAAGACCUCUUGCUUUAGGAGCGGCCGAUGUCGGAUUAGCUAGUUGGUGAGGUAAAGGCUCACCAAGGCGACGAUCCGUAGCGGGUCUGAGAGGACGACCAGCCACACUGGAACUGAGACACGGUCCAGACUCCUACGGGAGGCAGCAGUGGGGAAUUUUGGACAAUGGGCGCAAGCCUGAUCCAGCCAUUCCGCGUGAGUGAAGAAGGCCUUCGGGUUGUAAAGCUCUUUCGCAAGGAAAGAAAACUUAUCUCCUAAUACGAGGUGAGGUUGACGGUACCUUGAUAAGAAGCACCGGCUAACUACGUG